CCUGUAUGUGGCCAGGCCCAUGGCGCACACCGACCACGUCUUACACCUAAAACUUGGAGAGAGCAUAAUUGUACUUCUACACCCCAAAUUGCACGUGGCGGCAGCUGAUCGGAGCUGCAACGUAUAAUUGUACUUUUACACCCCAAAUUCCUGCGCCAUUCCUAGGCUUUGAUGGAGUCAAACUUCCCCAACUGAUAGAUCGAGUACGGGUUCUCGUCGUGCACCCCCAGGCAUCCACCGGCUGCGGCGCCCGCCUCUCUCCCUCCCUCAGGCCAAGAGCUUCCCGUGUGGCUCUCUCUCCUCCGGCGAAGCUCGUCUCAGCUCUCCCUCCACUUCACCACGGACGGCGGCGCCCCUUGGCACAGCUCGACCGUCGAGGGCUAGGAGGUCCCUCCCGCACCGGCAACACGAGCACUGACCUCCCUGAGCCGCAGCCCUGCCUUCCAUUAAGCCGGUCCUCAUCCGCCCCUCACCGCGGGUUCGACGAGCUGCACGAAUGCCCGCCCUCAUCUACUGUCACGGUGAGAAACACGUGUACCUAACCUGUUCGGCAGAAUGCCUGUGAGGAAUAUUUGUUUAUUAAUCAAGUUUCCUUUAGUUCUUGUGAAGAUGAAAACGAAGUUGUUUUAAUUUACUCUUUUCAUUUGUGAUUUGAUUACCUUCAAGCAAUUCCCAAAAUGAAUGCCUGCAACACUUCCUUUGGAAGUUUGGAUCUUUUCAUGGGACUUCUCUUUUCCUUGAGGACUUGCCAUCUGUUUCACCAGCAGCAGUAGCUGCAGUUCCCUGGAAAGCUUUGAUGCAUUAGAUGGAUAACAAAUGUUUUUUUUGUUAAAACAAUGUUCCUUUGUGGUAGAUUCGUGUAGGCGUUAUUCUGCUGACUGUGGUACCCACUGUUAGGAUAAAUUUGCUGAUUUAUAAUUUGUUUUACGAUGACCUGAGAAGCUCGUUUUUCCAUGAUCUAAUCAUCGUCUCACAAGUAGAAACAUCAAUUACUGAAAUUUAUUCAUCUGCCGCUAGCAAUUUUGUUUAUCAGUUUAUUCUUGAUUGUUUCUACAAUUACUUGGGCUUGUAAAAUCUGACUGCGGUACAGCUCGCUGUACAGAACGGUAAAAUCCCUUGCAAAAUCUGAAGUAUUUGAUAGGGGAAAAUUCUAUACCUAUGUGAAUAAAUCUGAAUAUAGCAAGCCACUAUCAAUUCAGUUAAUUCAGGCUAACUAUGUAUAGUUUCAGUGUCAGUUUUUUUAUAGGAUCCUACAAUGUAAGAUCUUGUAAUGUAAGAUUCAGUUUAUUGAGGCUAACUAUGUACUUUCAGCAUACUUCAUGUAAUCUAAGAUCAGGCUAAAUUCCUAUAACGUAAGUUCCAAUUAUCUGAGUACAGCAAGCUCCUAUAAAUUCAGUUUAUUCAGUACCGUUCGCCGUACAGUUUAUUCAGAUUCAGGCACAAUAGAGCAAUAAAUUAAAAUUAUUUGAUAGGGGUUUGCUGUACUGAAUUUUGGUUCCAGAUUUUUUUCUAACCAUGUACUGAUACCAAAGUAAGGGUACAAUUAUAAUUAUAAUUCUGAAGCUAAGAUCUAAGAAGAAACCUGCAUCCAUGGCUCUGUUGGGACCGCAGCCCCUGGAACUGCAGUUGGGGUCGCUUUACCAUGAACUACAGGAGGAGAGCUUCCUGUAUUGGCCCAAUAGUCCAUUCCUAUGUUUAAGGUUGUAGUUGGACCAGGCACUGAACUACUCGAUGGCAUUGGCAUCGAUUGCCAAGAUUUGCUUCAAUUUUGCUUGGAUCUUGUUCUUGUCCAAUUUUGCUUGGGAGGCGGCAUUGGCGAGCUUGAUACACCAUUCUGGGAUCUUCGAAUUUCUGACAAUAAACACAUCGAAAUUAUGAAGCUUCAUAAAGUGCCAAAAGGGAAGCAAGCAGCCACAGAGAUUUAUUCUGUGCUUGCGCGACCAGUUUUUUUGCCAAACAAUUGAUAUUUGUGUUGAUGCCUAGGAGGGGCCAACUGCAUGAGUUCUUCUUUACCUUAUGUAUUGUGGCUGCUCAAGAGCUUGUGGCCAUUGUCUUGCCAUUUGGAAAUCUGAUUGUUGGUGAUUUUGCUAAGCAUUUGUAUGAAUGUGCAAUGUUAUGAUCGUGUGCUUUUGCCCGA
This is a long non-coding RNA of Brachypodium distachyon (stiff brome), 2137 nucleotides long. RefSeq lists it as uncharacterized. Lineage: Eukaryota; Viridiplantae; Streptophyta; Magnoliopsida; Poales; Poaceae. The record is from RefSeq and is a predicted model, not a curated record. The transcript is spliced from 2 exons.